AUACGAAGGGGGCUAGCGUUGCUCGGAAUCACUGGGCGUAAAGGGUGCGUACGCGGGUCUUUAAGUCAGGGGUGAAAUCCUGGAGCUCAACUCCAGAACUGCCUUUGAUACUGAAGAUCUUGAGUUCGGGAGAGGUGAGUGGAACUGCGAGUGUAGAGGUGAAAUUCGUAGAUAUUCGCAAGAACACCAGUGGCGAAGGCGGCUCACUGGCCCGAUACUGACGCUGAGGCACGAAGGCGUGGGGAGCAAACAGGAUUAGAUACCCUGGUAGUCAAGGGCG
Molecule: ribosomal RNA, 280 nt
Filed under: uncultured Hyphomicrobiales bacterium
Lineage: Bacteria; Pseudomonadati; Pseudomonadota; Alphaproteobacteria; Hyphomicrobiales
Description: uncultured Rhizobiales bacterium partial 16S ribosomal RNA
Rfam family: Bacterial small subunit ribosomal RNA
Source: RNAcentral